AAUGGCACAUCAGUCUCUUUACCUUCUCUUCCUCGUUGUCUUAUCAUCAAUCAGCAGCCAUGUAAUUCAAGUUGAGGGUCGCCAUCUUUUGGACGCAACUUUGCCAGAUCUCCCCAUUGGCCUCCCGAAACCCGAGCUACCAACAUUACCUAUGCCCAAUCUUCCACUGCCGCAGCCUGGAUUGCCCACAUUACCUAUGCCCAAUCUUCCACUGCCACAGCCUGGAUUGCCCACAUUACCUAUGCCUAAUCUUCCUCUGCCACAACUUCCAAACCCUCAGCUGCCACCUUUGCCCAAACCGGAGUUGCCAUUACCUAUGCCAGAACUUCCCAAACCUCAGCUACCUCUGCCACAGUUGCCAAUACCAUCGCCACCUCUGCCAAGCCCUUAAGUACUAAAGUUCCUUCAAUGAAGGGAAGUGUACUACGUGCUAUCCAGGAUGACUCAUUUGUAUCAUUAUUGUCGUAUUUGUUAACCUC
This 479-nucleotide long non-coding RNA is filed under the name Solanum tuberosum (potato). Its description in RNAcentral is "long non-coding RNA (STUB_LNC006304)". The record is from RNAcentral. Lineage: Eukaryota; Viridiplantae; Streptophyta; Magnoliopsida; Solanales; Solanaceae.